UCUAAUUUGGCAGAGAUAUUUAGGAGUGCAGUAAAUUUAGAAUUUACAUAGGUGUGAAACACAAUUAGGA
RNAcentral lists this transfer RNA (70 nucleotides) under Hemiodoecus leai. Its description in RNAcentral is "tRNA-Leu". Lineage: Eukaryota; Metazoa; Arthropoda; Insecta; Hemiptera; Peloridiidae. The record is from RNAcentral.